Molecule: long non-coding RNA, 245 nt
Organism: Manacus vitellinus (golden-collared manakin)
Lineage: Eukaryota; Metazoa; Chordata; Aves; Passeriformes; Pipridae
Exons: 2
Source: RefSeq, a predicted model, not a curated record
CUUCUAUCUCUGCAAACUGCAUCCCUGAAAAUUAAUUACAGAAAUACACAGCAACUGAAUGUCAAGAUGAUGUCUAUAUUUCAUGUGCAUUAAGUGAAUGGGGAAAGUUUCUCUGUGGAUACCUCUUCUGCUUUUUAAUAAAUUCUUUCUUUUGCCUGAAGAGAAUUAGAAGCUGGCUUUUGACCUCCAUUAAUUUUUUUAAUUUAAUAGUUCUCUGCAUGCAUUAAUAAAUAUUAUUAACCAUA